Molecule: long non-coding RNA, 611 nt
Filed under: Sus scrofa (pig)
Lineage: Eukaryota; Metazoa; Chordata; Mammalia; Artiodactyla; Suidae
Description: lncRNA (ENSSSCG00070015203.1)
Source: RNAcentral
GUUGGGAAAAGCCCUUUUCUAUGAACUGCCAGAAAGGCCAAUUAUAUGUUUUAUGGAAGUGAAGGCUGAAGGGGAACUUGAAAGGUCACAGGCAACCCUCACUGUCAAGAUCAUGGCAGAGAAGUAACCUAUGUGGAUGGCAACCAGUUCCAUUUAUUUUUCUUUUUGAGCCUUGAGAGGUACCUGGUCCACAAACUGAUAUAUCACCUUCGAAUCAAGACGAUGUUCUCAAUAUGCACCCAGGAGAGGAAGAAGAGGUUAACAUGCUAAAGUCCCAAGCAUGGAAGUAGAUACUGGAGAUCCUGGACACUGGUGGAUGAUUUCAGCUGGUCUUAAACUGAGGUGAAAACUACCCCUUAUUUCAACUGAAUAGGAAAACAUUAAGCUGUAAGUAAACUUGAAACAAAAGAAAAAUGGAAGUAGUUUCUCUAAAAUUGAAAAAAAAAAUAUUGCCUCGUAAGUAUUGUGUAUCUUCUUUUUAGUAAGCCUUUCAAAAAUAAGAAUACAUCUUGUGAUGAAGAAAAAUCCAUAUAGGAAAUGUCUUGUUGGAACUUUACACAGCUUGCAAUAAGUAAAUUCUGUAUUGAUUCUUUCUGUAUAAGUGAGUAGAU